CAGAAUGGCUGAACAGGAGAAGACUGGACUUUGAAGCCACAUACCUGGUUCAAAGCUAGAAUGUUCACUUUUACUAGCUGAAGGAGCAGCAGCGGCUUCCCCUUCUCCUACACCGGGCUACUGUCACCUCCUCUACCAAGGGCGUGGUGAAACCCAGGUGACCUGGCAUGGGGAGACAUACUGCCUGGUUGGUGGCUACCGGUCUUAUGGGGAUGCACCUGUGGCCACCCCAGAAAAGGUGGAAGCAGAGAAGCCAGUCCCCAGGCGGGCUCCCAAGAGACAUGCAACUUCAGCGUCAGACCAAGAGCUAGGCUGCCCCCCGCCCAAACUUCGGCGGCUGCAACAUCGUGGCAAGAGGCUGACCCCACAGAAGCUUGCUGGCCAUGCCACUUGUGAGACUGGAACCGGAGCUGCCCUGAAUGAGCCUUCCUCAAGAGACCCAGAAGAGCUGCUCCCAGAGAAGGAACAAAAUGGAAAGAGUUGAGCAGCACCUCCAACGGAGGCCCACAGGCUUCUUUAUUCCCAGCCCUUCCUGACCCCAGUAUGGCCUCGUAGCGUAAAUAAAAUGGUUUUCUGUUACAGUGUUUGACUUUAAAUCCAGCUUGUCCAAGGCCAGGCCCCAAACCUCCCUGUUCCAUUAAAGUGUAUUCCCACAUGGCAUACCCGAUCCUUUAAGACCUUAGCCUCCAAA
This is a long non-coding RNA of Manis pentadactyla (Chinese pangolin), 691 nucleotides long. RefSeq lists it as uncharacterized. The record is from RefSeq and is a predicted model, not a curated record. The transcript has 3 exons. NCBI's taxonomy places the organism in Eukaryota, Metazoa, Chordata, Mammalia, Pholidota, Manidae.